GCUGAGCUGUGCCCAGCUGGCACCAGCAAACCCCACAGCCAGCCUUUUAAUCCUUGUCCUGCUCACAAGAACAGGUACAUGCACCAGCAAACCCCACAGGCAGCCUUUUUAAUCCUUGUCCUGCCCACAUGAACAGUGCUGGGUGAGCUGUGCCCAGCUGGCACCAGCAAACCCCACAGCCAGCCUUUUAAUCCUUGUCCUGCCCACAUGAACAGGUACGUGCUGGGUGAGCUGUGCCCAGCUGGCACCAGCAAACCCCACAGGCAGCAUUUACAUCCUUCCCUUGCCCACAUGAACAGGUACGUGCUGGGCGAGCUGUGCCCAGCUGGCACUGGCAAACCACACAGGUAGCCUUUUUAAUCCUUGUCCUGCUCACAAGAACAGGUACAUGCACCAGCAAACCCCACAGGCAGCCUUUCUAAUCCUUGUCCUGCCCACAUGAACAGGUACGUGCUGGGUGAGCUGUGCCCAGCUAGCACCGGCAUAGCCUCUGGGCAGCCUUUUUAAUCCUUGUUCUGCCCUCAUGAACAGUUACAUGCACCAGCAAACCCCACAGGCAGCCUUUUUAAUCCUUGUCCUGCCCACAUGAACAGGUACAUGCACCAGCAAACUCCACAGCCAGCCUUUUUAAUCCUUGUCCUGCCCACAUGAACAGUGCUGGGUGAGCUGUGCCCAGCUGGCACCAGCAUAGCCUCUGGGCAGCCUCAUUUAUCCUUCCCCUGCCCAUGUGAGCAGGUAUUGCUGGGGUGAGGUGUGCCCAGCUGGCACCAGCAAACCCCACAGCCAGCUUUUUUAAUCCUUGUCCUGCUCACAUGAACAGGUACAUGCACCAGCAAACCCCACAGGCAGCAUUUACAUCCUUCCCUUGCCCACAUGAACAGGUACAUGCUGGGGAGAGCUGUGCCCAGCUGGCACCAGCAAAACCCACAGCCAGCAUUUACAUACUUCCCCUGCCCUCAUGAGCAGGUGUGUCCUGGGGAUGACCCACCUGGGCGCCUCCAAACCCUCUGGGCAGCCUCAUUUAUCCUUGUCCUGCUCACAAGAACAGGUACAUGCACCAGCAAACCCCACAGGCAGCAUUUACAUCCUUCCCCUGCCCACAUGAACAGGUACAUGCUGGGGGUGACCCACCUGGGCGCCUCCAAACCCUCUGGGCAGCCUCAUUUAUCCUUGUCCUGCUCACAAGAACAGGUACAUGCACCAGCAAACCCCACAGGCAGCAUUUACAUCCUUCCCCUGCCCUCAUGAACAGGUACAUGCUGGGGGUGACCCACCUGGGCGCCUCCAAACCCCCUGGGCAGCCAAUUAAAUAAUCUCCAAUAGAUCCUGGGCCUCAUUAAUCGCUGUACUGUCACAUCAGUCCCAUCAAUCAAACAGGAAAUCUUUGUUUUUGCCCUUCACUUCAUGCAUUCCACCUUUUUGGGCCCUUUUUUAGAUCACCUAAAAGGCGAUUUUACCAAAAUGGUAAAAACAAAGGCAUGCCUGCCUAUUACUGAGUCUUGGAGCUCAAGCCUGCAAAAUCUGAGGGUGGGUGGUGAGUUUUACCACAAAAGCCCUGAUUUGAGGUGAAUAGGAGCAUUCUCAUGCUCAGCACACACACAAUAAAUACAUAAUUCUGGUGGGAUCUUGAGUUAGUGUUGCUGCUCACAGCAGGAUUGAGGAGGGGGGUUACUGGUCUGACUCCAGGGGUUGUUUCAGACUGUGCAUUCCCAAGGAGUUUUCCUGCUUUUCCUGCUACCACCGUGUUCUAUAACUCCUCUGUUCCCUUCGGAUGUCCAGGGACAUCCAGUUAUAUCCAAAGGAAUCAGUUUCCAUCAUUAAAAUGGGAACAAAUCAGCUGAAUGUUCCUGCAGGAAGGAAAAUAAUAAACUACAAGUGCAAGAGCUGAAAAAAGAAUGAAACUCUUGUUCCUAGGAAGGGACACAGCGAUUGUUCAGCAGGGUGGUACCAGACAUUGUAAUGAUGAAUUGCAUUGACUUUUUUACUUGAGGCUGAGUCAGGGCAGGUAUAGAUUGGAUAUCAGGAAAAGGUUCUUCUUUUAGGAGAAGGUUCUUCUUUCUGUUAGAAAAAGGAUCCUUGGACUUCUUGAUCCUUCUAACUCAGGGUGUUCCAUAUUCUGUGAAUAAUGCUGGGUUUAUUAGGAUUGGAGGAGUGAGUACUAAGCUAUGCCAUGCAGCACCAGGUUCCUGCAAGCUCUGGCAUUAAAUGAAGCUCACACUGGGUAAUGAACCCUCUUUUCCAAACUCUGUGCUGCUGCUGAUCUCCUCUUCCCCUUUUCCCUGCCCCUCCAUGCUUGGGCAGGAACAGCUCUGAGCCAUGAGGAUGUUAAUGACUGACCAUCUGUACAGUGAUCAAAAAUAUUAAUAAUGAUGAGAAUUCAUUUCCCUUUUGUCCUGAAACCUCUCCUGCCCUCAGUGUUUUGAUCAGCAGCCUCUUUGCUGCUUUUCCUGAGGAAUAUAAAUACACUCUCCACAUGCUUUUUCUCUGCAUGUUAUUUUCAGGCCAACCUUAAGGCAGUUUUGGAUUUGCUGUGUAGCCAAAGAAAUGCACUUCAGCUCUGCGUUGUGUUCAGUUUCACAACAUUAUUUUAAUAGAUUAUUAUAUUGUCUUAA
Molecule: non-coding RNA, 2612 nt
Organism: Taeniopygia guttata (zebra finch)
Lineage: Eukaryota; Metazoa; Chordata; Aves; Passeriformes; Estrildidae
Source: RefSeq, a predicted model, not a curated record